This 36-nucleotide ribosomal RNA is filed under the name uncultured Russulaceae. RNAcentral describes it as "partial 28S ribosomal RNA". The record is from RNAcentral. Lineage: Eukaryota; Fungi; Basidiomycota; Agaricomycetes; Russulales; Russulaceae.
UCAAAUCGGGUGAGACUACCCGCUGAACUUAAGCAU